GAACUCUCACAAUGCGGUACGGUCUGUCUUGUCCGAUUCAUGACGUUUUGGGCCCAUCGACUCUGUACAGUUACCAGUCAAAUUAGUAGAUAAUAAAUUUAAUUUAAGAAUAAAUGAUUCAGUCAUUAAGCUCUAAAAAAAAAGUUUAUAUGUGUAACCUGAUAUGCCGGAUCCUCGUAAUGCCGGCAUAUGACAGUCCAAUCGUCUAUGGUGAUGCUGUCAUAAGGCUGUUGCCACACUGCCUCCUCCCCAUGAUCCCGCACCAUCUGGUACCAAUGCUGAUGCAUGUGAUGGUG
RNAcentral lists this long non-coding RNA (296 nucleotides) under Elaeis guineensis (African oil palm). RNAcentral's name for it is "long non-coding RNA (EGUI_LNC022910)". The record is from RNAcentral. Lineage: Eukaryota; Viridiplantae; Streptophyta; Magnoliopsida; Arecales; Arecaceae.